Molecule: long non-coding RNA, 540 nt
Filed under: Theobroma cacao (cacao)
Lineage: Eukaryota; Viridiplantae; Streptophyta; Magnoliopsida; Malvales; Malvaceae
Description: long non-coding RNA (TCAC_LNC004092)
Source: RNAcentral
GAAGCAAAGUGGAGCAAAAGUGGAUACUUGCCAUUAUUGGAUGAGUACCUUGGAACUGGCAUGACAUCCAUUGCUGCACAUACCUUGGUUCUUCCAGCUUCAUGCCUCUUGAAAUCAAGCUUACCGAAUUCCAAAAUCAACCCUGCAGCCGAAUACGAGACUGUAACUAAACUGGUCAUGCUUAUACCUCGUUUAUUGAAUGACAUACAAAGCUACCAGGUAAAUUAACAUUUUAUAAGGUUUCAUUUCUGAAUUUCUUUUUAUUUAUGGAAGCUUAUGACUUACAUUUACAAUGACAGAAGGAAAUAGAAGACGGGAAAAUGAACUAUGUAUUACUUUACAUGAAAGAAAACCCCGAAGCAGACAUUAAUGAUUCAAUUGCCUUUGUGAGAGACUUGCUUGACAAAAAGAGGAAAGAGUUGCUCAAACAUGUUCUAACGGAGGGAUUGAGUGAUUUGCCUGAAGCAUCCAGGCAUCUUCACUUAUCAUGCAUGAAAGUAUUUCAGAUGUUCUUCAACUCCAGCAAUAGAUAUGAUUCCA